Molecule: ribosomal RNA, 468 nt
Filed under: uncultured bacterium
Lineage: Bacteria
Description: partial 16S ribosomal RNA
Rfam family: Bacterial small subunit ribosomal RNA
Source: RNAcentral
GACGAACGCUGGCGGCGUGCUUAACACAUGCAAGUCGAACGGAAAGGCCCUGCUUUUGUGGGGUGCUCGAGUGGCGAACGGGUGAGUAACACGUGAGUAACCUGCCCUUGACUUUGGGAUAACUUCAGGAAACUGGGGCUAAUACCGGAUAGGAGCUCCUGCUGCAUGGUGGGGGUUGGAAAGUUUCGGCGGUUGGGGCUGGACUCGCGGCUUAUCAGCUUGUUGGUGGGGUAGUGGCUUACCAAGGCUUUGACGGGUAGCCGGCCUGAGAGGGUGACCGGCCACAUUGGGACUGAGAUACGGCCCAGACUCCUACGUGAGGCAGCAGUGGGGAAUAUUGCACAAUGGGCGGAAGCCUGAUGCAGCAACGCCGCGUGCGGGAUGACGGCCUUCGGGUUGUAAACCGCUUUCGCCUGUGACGAAGCGUGAGUGACGGUAAUGGGUAAAGAAGCACCGGCUAACUACGUG